GACGAACGCUGGCGGCGUGCUUAACACAUGCAAGUCGAACGAAGAGCGAUGGAAGCUUGCUUCUAUCAAUCUUAGUGGCGAACGGGUGAGUAACGCGUAAUCAACCUGCCCUUCAGAGGGGGACAACAGUUGGAAACGACUGCUAAUACCGCAUACGAUCCAAUCUCGGCAUCGGGACUGGAUGAAAGGUGGCCUCUAUUUAUAAGCUAUCACUGAAGGAGGGGAUUGCGUCUGAUUAGCUAGUCGGAGGGGUAACGGCCCACCAAGGCGAUGAUCAGUAGCCGGUCUGAGAGGAUGAACGGCCACAUUGGGACUGAGACACGGCCCAGACUCCUACGGGAGGCAGCAGUGGGGAAUCUUCCGCAAUGGACGAAAGUCUGACGGAGCAACGCCGCGUGAGUGAUGACGGCCUUCGGGUUGUAAAGCUCUGUUAAUCGGGACGAAUGGUUCUUGUGCGAAUAGUGCGAGGAUUUGACGGUACCGGAAUAGAAAGCCACGGCUAACUACGU
This 509-nucleotide ribosomal RNA is filed under the name uncultured bacterium. RNAcentral's name for it is "partial 16S ribosomal RNA". It matches the Rfam family "Bacterial small subunit ribosomal RNA", at positions 28 to 506 of the family's 1533-position model. The record is from RNAcentral.